Molecule: ribosomal RNA, 253 nt
Filed under: uncultured bacterium
Lineage: Bacteria
Description: partial 16S ribosomal RNA
Rfam family: Bacterial small subunit ribosomal RNA
Source: RNAcentral
CACGUAGGCACCAAGCGUUGUCCGGAUUUAUUGGGCGUAAAGAGCGUGUAGGCGGCCUGGUAGGUCUGCUGUGAAAACUCGAGGCUCAACCUCGAGAUGUCGGCGGAAACCAUCUGGCUAGAGUCCGGAAGAGGAGAGUGGAAUUCCUGGUGUAGCGGUGAAAUGCGCAGAUAUCAGGAAGAACACCUAUGGCGAAGGCAGCUCGCUGGGACGGUACUGACGCUGAGGCGCGAAAGCGUGGGGAGCGAACAGG